Monodelphis domestica (gray short-tailed opossum) is the source of this 1208-nucleotide long non-coding RNA. Lineage: Eukaryota; Metazoa; Chordata; Mammalia; Didelphimorphia; Didelphidae. The record is from Ensembl.
GGCUCGGGUCAAGCGGUUGGAAUUUGCCGGGUUUUCGCGAAGAAUUGGGCUAGCAUCCUUCGAAGCCCGGGAUCUGCAUUGGUUUCCAUCGUGAAUGAAUAACUGACCUCGAGAGAAUCUCGGCGGAGGAAAUGUCUGAGAACUGCGAGGAAGCACUUAGAAAGGAAAAACCAUUGUUUACAGAAACCAGAAGCCAAACCGGGCUUUUGUUGAUCCCGUUGCCUGGCGGACUAUUUAAUAUCGAAGAGACAUUGAUUGAAUCCAGCUGGAUCACUUUUACAGGUAGGGAAACUGAGGCAUGGAGCUUCCGUUUCUGUCAUUUUGUAUUCUGGGACCACUAUAUCUUUGUGUGUAUUUUGUAUAUAACCAUCAGCUUCUUUGUUUUCUCCCUUUUAGGAAGGAACCCCUUAGAGGGUAGAGUCCGCUUCAUUUCUAGUGCCUGGCACAUUUCAUUGAAUAAAUUGCUGAUUGAUCAAUCGAUUGAUUGAUCGAUUAUAUAAAGAGUAUCAUAGAGCUUCGGGCAGAAACGACCUCGGAAGAAUGUAGCCCAGAUCCCUCAGGGUCCCAAUGAAGCAAAUGGUUCCCUCGCACAUGACGCCAGGUCCCCAUUUCUCGCCCUCUCCCCUCUCCUUCCUGCCCCAGACUCCGAGACCCGGAGACGCGUUCCUGAGGAGCAGAGAAAUUACUCCAAGAAAAAGGGUCCACAAAUGUAGUGGGGAGUCCCAUUGUGAGAAUUCCCUUUCCCCAGACAGAUGGCAGCCCAUCUCUAACCUACCAGAGAACCCUAGAAAGUUGUGUGAAGACUUCUAAUGGGCUCAGCCCUCUCUACACAUCUAUCUAUCUAUCUAUCUAUCUAUCUAUCUAUCUAUCUAUCUAUCUAUCUAUCUAUCUAUCUAUCUAUCUAUCUGUCUGUCUGUCUGUCUGUCUGUCUGUCUGUCUGUCUGUCUGUCUAUCAGUGGAUGGAGAUGCUUUUGUGAUGAGCAAAACACAGAUUUUAAAUGUAUGCUAAUUGGAUUGUCAAUUAAAUUCUCAGUCUCUUGCCAUUUCUUUUUUUUUCUUUUUUGAAAUCUUAAUUUAAUUAGAUGAUUUAGACUAUUUUUCCAUGGUUACAAAAUUCAUGUUCUAUCCCUCUCCUCCUCCCACCCUCCCUCCGGUAUCUGACAAUUCCACUGAGUUUAACGUGUCAUUGAUCAAGACCUAUUUCCAUA